AGUCCCCUGGGCAUCUCAGCAAGGAACUCCCUCAGCGUGAUAAUUUUUUUUCCUCUUUUGUUUUUCUGUUUUGUUUUUUUUUCUUUUUUAAACCUCACUGAAUGUAGUGACUCACCGCCAUUGAAGAGAAUGAAGGAGAAUGUGCCACUUCUGAGACUGAGUCAUGGGAAGCACCGCGGCCUCCAUCUUGGAUGAGAAGCAACAAGGAACAUGUAAAUGAGAGAAGGCAGAGAGGACUGUGACAAGGAGUCUGCGACUUUAACACUUUCCUCCACUGGCACAGACCGCAGUCUGGCUUCAUUCCUGCCUCCCUCUUCAGACAGAGAGCUCCCAAACUGAGGACCUGUAUUUGUUCGUCUGGGGACCCUAAGCCCCUGAAAGAAAAUAUCUGGAAGAAUAUGGUACCCAACUGCUACAGUGGCUACUUCUGAAAAGAGAUUGGAAAGACAGAGAGGGGAUUUUCCAGUUCAGAAAAGUGAAAUCAGGUGCUG
Molecule: long non-coding RNA, 491 nt
Organism: Herpailurus yagouaroundi (jaguarundi)
Lineage: Eukaryota; Metazoa; Chordata; Mammalia; Carnivora; Felidae
Exons: 3
Source: RefSeq, a predicted model, not a curated record